This is a non-coding RNA of Pelodiscus sinensis (Chinese soft-shelled turtle), 455 nucleotides long. The record is from RefSeq and is a predicted model, not a curated record. NCBI's taxonomy places the organism in Eukaryota, Metazoa, Chordata, Testudines, Trionychidae.
CUCUCUCUCCAAGACACCAUUCUUCCUUUUCUUAUCUGGUGUUAAAACAGCAACUCCUGGAGCCAUGUGAUCACAUGGGACUCUCUGAGGGUGGCGUCUCCUUGCUGGGGGGAGCAGAUAGGAAGCAUUCGACAUGGAUAGUGUUGUGGGAGAGCGCAUCAAGGAACCCAAGAGCAUGCCAAGACUGAGUUGACCCCUGGUCUGUCAGACGAGGUUCUAAUUAAAAGAAAGAAAGAUGUAAAACAAGAAUGCCCAAAAUAGCUCCCUGAAAAGGUCAGGUGCUCCGCUAGUCAAUACUUUUACCAAAAUUAUACUCCAGCUGAGAUCUCCUAUGACGAUGACCUUCAGCAGCCUGGAGAUAAUAGCAGAGGGGACGUAUGAACAGCUGGGGAGAAAAUCCCCCCCCCCCCAUUUCCCAUUUUAAAAAAAUAAACAGCUAGAGAAGAGAGGAACAU